Long non-coding RNA from Patella vulgata (common limpet), 2524 nucleotides. RefSeq lists it as uncharacterized. The transcript has 4 exons. NCBI's taxonomy places the organism in Eukaryota, Metazoa, Mollusca, Gastropoda, Patellidae. The record is from RefSeq and is a predicted model, not a curated record.
AGUAACAUGUCUAGUCACAACUAUCAAAAUAUAUAGGUGUAUACACAAACUAGCAGAUUAAAUACUGAGGUUACAGAGUCACCAUGUUAAAUUAUAUGAUUAUACAUAUUAUUACAUUACUUAAUGUUAUAUCAGAAAUUGAAAGUAUCACAUGCAGGCGUUAUUCAUCUUCUUUCGACUAUAAAUAUUUCUAUUGUUCAUAUCGAUGUUGUGAUUAUAUUUCUACCAAAUAUUGCUGUGAAAAAAAUAAUUCCGAUAAUAAUGGGAGUUCCUUUACAACUAAUAUUGGGUUGGUGACGAUCACUGUUAUAGCAGUGGUAUUUAUUUGUUUUUGUUCAUGUUUUUUCACCAGUAAAAAAAGAGAAGCUCGACGUCGGAUGCUUACAUACCCACUCAACCCUACUAUUAUAGAGUCAGUCCAUGGUAGAACUCCACAAAAUCUGUCCCUUAAUAUUGAAGAACGGAGUCCUGGCGAGGCACCUCCGCCAUAUACUAUUAGCAACUCAUAUUUUCUUCCAACACAGCUGCCACCACCUUACACUUCACCAACACCAUCAGAACCACCACCCCCAUAUGAUCCCAAAUGGGCAAGAGUAAAGGCAGAUAAAUCUGAUGAAAGUAUCGAAGAAAAUGCAAAUAGCACUCCACAACGACCUCAAACACCGUGAAUAUCCUUUUCCCAACCAUCGCCAUCAAGCCUGCGAUAUAUUUAUUGUUGAAAACUUUAUGUGUUUUAAUUGUUUAAUAUGUGCGUGUCUGUGAAUAUAAAACAGAAUCAUGUAAAAAGAUGACCAGAAUCAAGUGUUGUGCUUCGACUUUGGUUAAGCAAUAAUUACUGACUGUGUUCUGCAAGUCACCAAUGGCACUUUUGAUUAUGUUUAUUUUCUUUUAUUUGCUAUGUCAUUAUAUAUUAAGUGUAUUAAAAUUGGUGUAAGGUGAGAGUUUAAAAAAAAACAGAAUUAAAUGUUGUCCUUCACAUAUUGUACAGAUACCUGUUAUUUUUGCUCAGUUGGUUUAAUAUACAGUAUUAACAAUGUUCGGGCAUUUUCUAACUCAGCAAUAUUAUUUGCUGUUCUGACAAUGGAAGAACUUUGUGAAUUGUUUCUUGGACUAGGAUUAGAUUUAAUUAAGAUUUCUACAUGUUCAAAUGUUUGAAAAUCCCAGUGUCCCCAUGGCUUCUAGCAUAGGAAAUGAUAUGAAAUGUGGUUUAACGUCCUACUUUUAGAACCGACUGGGCUAAUUAAGACGGGCAUGCGACAUUCCAACUGCCAACGGAUCUCUUACGGGUACGCCAAUACAUGGGACCUUGGGUGCUCGGCUAUACGUUGUCCCUUGCCAGGCCCCCUGUCCUUCACCAAUAACUAGGGGGACUCACGCCGGAAAAUCCCGAUGAACUUUCUCGGCCAAUACAGGGAUCGAAAAUGCGACGUCCGUGUUAGAGAGUCAACGUCCCACCCACUGAGCCACCGUGGCUCCUAUAUGAAAUGAGAUAAAAUGGAGUUUAAUGUCUUACUUUUUUGCACCAACUGGGAUAAUCUCAUGUAAGACAAAUGAGAAUUGGUGGUUAAUGGAAUCGUCCCAGAUAAAAUAUCAUAAAUGUGAAGAAACAGUUUAAUUUAGUUUCAAAUUAAAAUAUUAUAGUGUUUCGAAAAUAUGGUCUAGACAUUUUUAAACAUACAUUAUGCAAGAGCAGGUCUGUCUUUAGGCCUGAAAUGUUAUCUAAUUUAUUAAUUAGACAUUAAUUAAACUAUCCAGAACAUACUCAACUAUCGAUGGCAUCGCUAGCCUGCGAUCUUUAGUGGGUUAUGAGCCGAUUUACUGCAUAACUUUCCUUCACGAUUUAAUGAUUAAAUGGAUGAUCGCGACUAUGCUGUUUAUCGUACUGACUUUAGUAAUGAUGAUUGAGGCUAGGCGGAAUUUUCAAUCGCUUAAUUCCCGGUUCAUAGUGGAUCAAUUUGAAUGAAAUUUUCAGCAAAUUGCCUUUACAUUAUCUAGUUUUUAACUAUUAUAGUGAGAACUGCCAACUCGUUAUCUAAUCUCCCAUAAUGUAUCUUUAAUAAGGAAAUAGAUUGGUUUUAUUCGCUAAAAUAUACCAAAGACUGAUCCUUUAAAUACCAAGAAGUGUUCUGUAAGGAGUAAUGAUACACCUCCUUGUAGGCAUAUAUAGCUAAUAUAACAAUGACUAAUUGUUACGACGACUGAAUAAGUAUAAGUCAUAACGGUUAUAACCCCCAAUAUCAUUUUUAAUUGUGAUCGGUAUUUACAAUAGUGACGUACUAUUUACAAUUAACAGUAGAACCAUUCAUUCCGUGCACUCGUUUAAUCUUAAACACCCAUUACCGUAAAUUUCAUAUCUUUAGUUUAAGUCCGCAUAUUCAAUUAACUCAAAAAUAAAGCUAAUGGCUCUGCCUUGUUGUGUUGUUGAGGAGUUUAAAGGGACAACUAACCAAUGUCUUUUCACCUGUAUACUUUUGAUUAUUACAAUCUAGUACACCAAUGAAUGAAUAAAACAUUAUAAAUAUAA